This 258-nucleotide ribosomal RNA is filed under the name Smicridea turrialbana. Its description in RNAcentral is "partial 28S large subunit ribosomal RNA". It matches the Rfam family "Eukaryotic large subunit ribosomal RNA", at positions 649 to 860 of the family's 3401-position model. The record is from RNAcentral. Lineage: Eukaryota; Metazoa; Arthropoda; Insecta; Trichoptera; Hydropsychidae.
CCGUCUUGAAACACGGACCAAGGAGUCUAGCAUGCGCGCGAGUCAUUGGGAAUUUAUAAACCCAGAGGCGCAAUGAAAGUGAACAGCGUCGACCUCGCGUCGGCCGCAGGGAAGAUGACGGUCGGCACGCCCGUCCGUUCGCAUUCCCGGGGCGUUUCGAGAAAUGCCUCCGUUGCGAUUAUCGAGACGCACCGAGAGCGCGCACGCUGGGACCCGAAAGAUGGUGAACUAUGCCUGGUCAGGUCGAAGUCAGGGGAA